This 72-nucleotide transfer RNA is filed under the name Camelus bactrianus (Bactrian camel). It matches the Rfam family "tRNA". Rfam says of the family: Transfer RNA (tRNA) molecules are approximately 80 nucleotides in length. Their secondary structure includes four short double-helical elements and three loops (D, anti-codon, and T loops). RNAcentral also lists the same sequence under 2 other names. Lineage: Eukaryota; Metazoa; Chordata; Mammalia; Artiodactyla; Camelidae. The record is from Rfam by way of RNAcentral.
GGGUGUAUAGCUCAGUGGUAGAGUGUGUGCGUAGCUUGCAUGAGGUCUUGAGUUCAAUCCCCAGUACCUCCA